Molecule: ribosomal RNA, 430 nt
Filed under: uncultured Massilia sp.
Lineage: Bacteria; Pseudomonadati; Pseudomonadota; Betaproteobacteria; Burkholderiales; Oxalobacteraceae
Description: bacterial SSU rRNA
Rfam family: Bacterial small subunit ribosomal RNA
Source: RNAcentral
GUGGGGAAUUUUGGACAAUGGGCGCAAGCCUGAUCCAGCAAUGCCGCGUGAGUGAAGAAGGCCUUCGGGUUGUAAAGCUCUUUUGUCAGGGAAGAAACGGUGAGGGCUAAUAUCCCUUGCUAAUGACGGUACCUGAAGAAUAAGCACCGGCUAACUACGUGCCAGCAGCCGCGGUAAUACGUAGGGUGCAAGCGUUAAUCGGAAUUACUGGGCGUAAAGCGUGCGCAGGCGGUUUUGUAAGUCUGUCGUGAAAUCCCCGGGCUCAACCUGGGAAUGGCGAUGGAGACUGCAAGGCUAGAAUCUGGCAGAGGGGGGUAGAAUUCCACGUGUAGCAGUGAAAUGCGUAGAUAUGUGGAGGAACACCGAUGGCGAAGGCAGCCCCCUGGGCUAAGAUUGACGCUCAUGCACGAAAGCGUGGGGAGCAAACAGG